UGCUUUCCAUUUCGGAUUCAUCCAGUCGUUGUAAUUCCAUUUCAUGUUCCCUUAAUUUUCCAAAUAAUGUUGCUGUCGUCAUCUUUGCUAGAUCCUUAGACUCAGCUAUUGCGGUAAUCUUGGGCUGCCAUUCUCUGGUUAAACAUCUCAUGAUCUUUCCAAUCUGCUGUUCAUUAUCCACAUCUUUUCCUAGUGCAUGCAGGUUGUUGACUAUGUGUGUGAAUCUGGUUUGCAAAUCACUGAUUGACUCUUCUUUCUUCAUGCUAAAUAAUUCAUAUUCGUGCAUGAGCGUAUUCACACGAGCUCUCUUAACAUCAGUAGUACCUUCGUG
RNAcentral lists this long non-coding RNA (331 nucleotides) under Cicer arietinum (chickpea). RNAcentral describes it as "long non-coding RNA (CARI_LNC003695)". Lineage: Eukaryota; Viridiplantae; Streptophyta; Magnoliopsida; Fabales; Fabaceae. The record is from RNAcentral.